This 71-nucleotide transfer RNA is filed under the name chicken gut metagenome. It matches the Rfam family "tRNA". Rfam says of the family: Transfer RNA (tRNA) molecules are approximately 80 nucleotides in length. Their secondary structure includes four short double-helical elements and three loops (D, anti-codon, and T loops). The record is from RNAcentral.
UGCGGUAGUUCAGCCUGGUUAGAAUGCCGGCCUGUCACGCCGGAGGUCGCGGGUUCGAGUCCCGUCCGCAC